CCUGGCGGCCAUAGCGCGGUGGCACCACCUGAACCCAUGCCGAACUCAGAAGUGAAACGCCGUAGCGCCGAUGGUAGUGUGGGGUCUCCCCAUGCGAGAGUAGGAAACUGCCAGGC
RNAcentral lists this ribosomal RNA (116 nucleotides) under Yersinia enterocolitica. Lineage: Bacteria; Pseudomonadati; Pseudomonadota; Gammaproteobacteria; Enterobacterales; Yersiniaceae. The record is from RNAcentral.